RNAcentral lists this ribosomal RNA (254 nucleotides) under uncultured bacterium. Its description in RNAcentral is "partial 16S ribosomal RNA". It matches the Rfam family "Bacterial small subunit ribosomal RNA", at positions 524 to 776 of the family's 1533-position model. The record is from RNAcentral.
GACGUAGGGCGCGAGCGUUGUCCGGAUUUAUUGGGCGUAAAGAGCUCGUAGGCGGCUUGUCGCGUCGACUGUGAAAACCCGUGGCUCAACCAUGUGGUCUGCAGUCGAUACGGGCAGGCUAGAAUUCGGUAGGGGAGACUGGAAUUCCUGGUGUAGCGGUGAAAUGCGCAGAUAUCAGGAGGAACACCGGUGGCGAAGGCAGGUCUCUGGGCCACUACUGACGCUGAGAAGCGAAAGCGUGGGGAGCGAACAGG